This 2175-nucleotide long non-coding RNA is filed under the name Musa acuminata (dwarf banana). RNAcentral describes it as "long non-coding RNA (MACU_LNC010520)". The record is from RNAcentral. Lineage: Eukaryota; Viridiplantae; Streptophyta; Magnoliopsida; Zingiberales; Musaceae.
GUAAGAGAGAGCAGGUGACUAUGCCUCUAUGUUCUGCAUGAGCUGUAGUUGUGGAGGAAAAAGAAAAGACAUGUAGAAAACGAAACAGAGAGAGGACACGGAGGAAAAGUAGAAGGAUUUGGGCUAGCACCUUCUUUGGAUCUUCGGAUCGAAAUCUUUGAAAGGCAAGUUUCCCGAUCGUUUCUCCUGUAAUUGUUCAAUCCUUUCUAUUGCAAGUGUUCCGAUCCUUUCUAUUGUAAGCUUUCUAAUCUUUCCUAUUGCAAGUGUCUUGAUCUUUCCUUACUGUAAUUUUAUCUCUACAUUUGCUUUGAAUAUGAGGAACUUUGAAUUGUUCUAGUCGUGCAUUUUAUAUAUCUCCUGUUUAGACGAAACGAUUCGAAUCUAUGCAACAUUUUAGAUUCUGACCUUUUGAUACUGAACUGCCUAUAAGUCCUGUUGAAAACUUUGAUUUAUUCAUAUCUUAUUACAUUGGAAACUAGACUCGUAGAUCUUUCUUUUGAUACCUGGAUUAAAAAAUUUAGAGUCCAAAUGUCUGCUCAGUUAUCUAUUGAAUCCGACCCUUUGGAUUAUGCAAAAUAAUGAUUUUGUUUUCUGACCUUUGGUUACUAAAUCAAUUUUAACUCUUUGUUGGAAACUUCGAUUCAUAUGAGACUUGUUUUAUCUGAAAAUAGAUUGAAAUAUCUUUCCAAUGAUAUAUUUUUGAGUAAAUUGGAGCACGAUUGAUAGUUCGAAUCAUUUGUUCAAUGUGCCUCUUGAAUUCUGCCAGAAAUCGAGCUUUGGUCGAUUUCGCAUAUUCUGGUUUCAUUCCUUUGGAAAUUGAUAUCUGUUAGCUUUCUUAUUCAAUUAAGCUUUAUAUUACUGCUUUGAAUUCUUGUAUGCUCUUGUCCUAUAUGUAUUUGGAUACCUAAAUCUGUUAUGUAAACUUCAUGUUUGUAUCGUAAUGUUUCAUAAAGGCACAUGUACAUUUCGUUGUUCCGCAUGUGCUUCCGAUAUGUCCCAAUUUAUUGUUCACAAUACCCUUUUGUACUCUGGUGUUUGUGGGAUUAUUUGGACCUUUGCCAGAAAUGGUAAAGGGUAUGUUCUUAGAGCCCGCGAUGCUCUAGAUUAUGUUUGGUGGUCAUUCAGAAAUGGAUGGACCAUAUUAUGUUUGGAAUCCCACUUCACCAUCUAUCUGUUUGAUAUGAAAUUCAGAGCUGACCUAGCACUUGGGCAGGGUGAGAGGGCUCGAGUAGGAAAGGGCUACCAGUGGAUGGAGUCGAGAACUCAUCACGGCGUGGAGCCACCACUGAGUUAAACCUCACAUGCACUAUGCUAGGGUACGACGUCUGAGCUUCUGUUUCGUAUUUUGUAUUGAUAUGCUCCAAAAUGUUUCCUAUGCCAUUGAUAUACUUCAAAAUGCUUCACAUACCUUUGAUAUGUUCCGAAAUGUUCCAUUUGUUAUAGAUAUGCUCCGGAACAUUUAGUAUGCUAUUGAUAUGCUCCAAUUACUCUAUGCUCCAUUUGUUAUGAACCAAAUAUGUUAUAAAUGAAAUGACAUUUGCGAUUUUGUAUCUAAUGAGAUGAUAUCCUUGAAUCUCUUGGAUUUUGUCUUGCAUUGUGAUAUCUUGUUUGUUUGAAAAUGUCCCUUCUCAUGCUAUAUAUACUUUGUUACUUGCUGAGCUGUUUUUAGCUCACUCCGUUGUUAUAUAAAUCUUUCAGGUCAGCUUGUCACUCUUUGAGAUGUUUGAAUUGGGUUGAGGCAGUGGAGAGCUAUUCUGAAUUAUGGGCAAGUCUUGUUGGUUAUUAUGUUAUUGUUGUAUAAGCAUAUUUUGUAUGAAAUGAAAUGUUAUCGAUGAAUCGAAAUGGAUAUACUGUGUAAAAGUGUUAGAAGAUCUCUCUUAUUUGGAAUUUCAGAAUGUUAAGUCUAAUUUAUGAUGAUAUGAACUUGUGGUGAAUAGUUGGAGUUCUGAUUGUAUAAUUUAUUUAGCUUGCGGAUUUAUAAAUGUUGUUCAUGUUUGUCAAGUUGGCUUGGGUUGCCAUAAAUGUGAAUUAUCGAGUGAUGUGAUAUAUGAUUAUAAACUGCAUAGGUUUUAUAGAUGUGAAUUUGAUAGAAUGUUUUUCAGUGUCCUCAAAUGUGUGUUUGGAUCCUAGAUUGGUUUGUGAUGAAAAUUUUAAAUAUCAUGGAUAUUUGAGGGG